UACGAAGGGGGCUAGCGUUGCUCGGAAUCACUGGGCGUAAAGGGUGCGUAGGCGGGUCGUUAAGUCAGGGGUGAAAUCCCGGAGCUCAACUCCGGAACUGCCUUUGAUACUGGCGACUUUGAGGCUGGAAGAGGUUAGUGGAAUUCCCAGUGUAGAGGUGAAAUUCGUAGAUAUUGGGAAGAACACCAGUGGCGAAGGCGGCUAACUGGUCCAGAUCUGACGCUGAGGUGCGAAAGCGUGGGGAGCAAACAGG
This 253-nucleotide ribosomal RNA is filed under the name uncultured bacterium. RNAcentral describes it as "partial 16S ribosomal RNA". It matches the Rfam family "Bacterial small subunit ribosomal RNA", at positions 524 to 776 of the family's 1533-position model. The record is from RNAcentral.